UUGAACGCUGGCGGCAGGCCUAACACAUGCAAGUCGAGCGGAUGAAGGGAGCUUGCUCCUGGAUUCAGCGGCGGACGGGUGAGUAAUGCCUAGGAAUCUGCCUGGUAGUGGGGGAUAACGUCCGGAAACGGGCGCUAAUACCGCAUACGUCCUGAGGGAGAAAGUGGGGGAUCUUCGGACCUCACGCUAUCAGAUGAGCCUAGGUCGGAUUAGCUAGUUGGUGGGGUAAAGGCCUACCAAGGCGACGAUCCGUAACUGGACUGAGAGGAUGAUCAGUCACACUGGAACUGAGACACGGUCCAGACUCCUACGGGAGGCAGCAGUGGGGAAUAUUGGACAAUGGGCGAAAGCCUGAUCCAGCCAUGCCGCGUGUGUGAAGAAGGUCUUCGGAUUGUAAAGCACUUUAAGUUGGGAGGAAGGGCAGUAAGUUAAUACCUUGCUGUUUUGACGUUACCAACAGAAUAAGCACCGGCUAACUUCGUG
RNAcentral lists this ribosomal RNA (483 nucleotides) under uncultured bacterium. RNAcentral describes it as "partial 16S ribosomal RNA". It matches the Rfam family "Bacterial small subunit ribosomal RNA", at positions 30 to 507 of the family's 1533-position model. The record is from RNAcentral.